Molecule: ribosomal RNA, 645 nt
Filed under: Triticum aestivum (bread wheat)
Lineage: Eukaryota; Viridiplantae; Streptophyta; Magnoliopsida; Poales; Poaceae
Description: partial small subunit ribosomal RNA
Source: RNAcentral
AUGGUCGUUGAUCCAGUUCUCAAGGGAUUUGACCUCAACAUCGCGGCAGUAGAUGAGUCAAGCCCUUUGGAAGGAAUCGGCCUUGGCCUGUAUGCGACUGAGUUCAUCCACAAGUACCUCAGAUUCAAUCCCACGGACCAGGAGCUGAUGGAGCGGCUCGAGGCCAAGGUGAGGGAUGGAGGCGCGAGAUCUGACCCUCUGAUUGAUAAAUUCAUACCCACCAUAGAGGUCGAGUACGGCUACCCCCAUCCUCAGCAACUUCCAGGUGUGACGAUGGACGGCACGAUCAAGCAUUUUUUCUGCCGUCCGAGGGCGUUCGAGAGUGGACGGAGGAAACAUCGGAAGAUAAAGGCGGAGCGCAACGAUCGUACCGCAUGGCACAAGACCGGCAAAAGCAUGGCAUUGAAGGCCAACGGCCGGCUGACGGGCUGGAAGAACAUCCUGGUGCUCUACACCAACACCAGGAAGACCAACUGGGUGAUGCAUGAGUAUCGCCUCAGCGACGUCGAGGACGAGGAAGGCGGGGAGCUGGUCCUGUGCAAAAUCUUCUACCAGACGGGGGAGCCCAAGAGAAGAAGUGUGUUGAGGACCCAAGAGAACAAGUGCCCCACGUGUGGGUGUGGGUGUGGUGGCAUGGACGUUUAG